UGGAUACUUGUUAUGGAGAAUCAAAACUAUACAGAGAGGCAUUUCUAAUGAGGAAUAUAAUUUGAAGGCCAGAAGAGACCAGGAAAGGUGUCUACGUCUCAAGUACAGAUAUCUUCUAAAAGAGUGGAACAAGCAUUGCGCAUCUUCAAGACAUCACUGGAAGUGCUCACCUCUGUCUCCUGGCUCUGGGAAGAAUUAUUCAGUUCACCAGUACUUCAGUAUGCCAUUCCAUGCAAGCCAGCAGAGAAGGCAUUGCUGGCCCUGACGGCCCACCACUGGAGUUUUCAGUUCCAGAACACCUGAGCUGUGUUAGUUCAAUCCACUCUGAGUAGGCUGACUCUGACCCUGCGUUCCAUCCAGAAGAGCUCAUCGUGUAUUAAAUAAAUUCAAUGCACACAGACUGAAGUAUUUUAAGUCUUUGGUUCUUUUAAUUGUGAUGAUUUUGGUUCACAUUUAACA
Molecule: long non-coding RNA, 459 nt
Organism: Cyprinus carpio carpio
Lineage: Eukaryota; Metazoa; Chordata; Actinopteri; Cypriniformes; Cyprinidae
Source: Ensembl